RNAcentral lists this ribosomal RNA (238 nucleotides) under uncultured Lactobacillus sp. RNAcentral's name for it is "partial 16S ribosomal RNA". It matches the Rfam family "Bacterial small subunit ribosomal RNA", at positions 125 to 356 of the family's 1533-position model. The record is from RNAcentral. Lineage: Bacteria; Bacillati; Bacillota; Bacilli; Lactobacillales; Lactobacillaceae.
CCGUGCCCAAGAGAUCGGGAUAACACCUGGAAACAGAUGCUAAUACCGGAUAACAACAGAUGAUGCCUAUCAACUGCUUAAAAGAUGGUUCUGCUAUCACUCUUGGAUGGACCUGCGGUGCAUUAGCUAGUUGGUAGGGUAACGGCCUACCAAGGCGAUGAUGCAUAGCCGAGUUGAGAGACUGAUCGGCCACAUUGGGACUGAGACACGGCCCAAACUCCUACGGGAGGCAGCAGUG